AUGAACCUGGUGGCUUCCUUUUCUGGGAGGAAGUUAGGGUUCA
This is a microRNA precursor of Homo sapiens (human), 43 nucleotides long. The record is from Ensembl. NCBI's taxonomy places the organism in Eukaryota, Metazoa, Chordata, Mammalia, Primates, Hominidae.